Long non-coding RNA from Rosa rugosa (rugosa rose), 437 nucleotides. RefSeq lists it as uncharacterized. Lineage: Eukaryota; Viridiplantae; Streptophyta; Magnoliopsida; Rosales; Rosaceae. The transcript has 3 exons. The record is from RefSeq and is a predicted model, not a curated record.
AACCAGUGAGUUCUUCUUGAGUUUCUUAACAACUCUUCAGAAGGAAUCGAAGCCUUAAAUUGACGUUUUUACGUCGAAUUGGAGCUCGCCGUUUUCUGCAGUUUCUCGCCGGUUUCUGGAAAAUUCCGGCCACCUUCAUACUGUUCAAGGUGAUCGACGGUUUGAUUUGGCGGACGAUUCGUGAAAUUGUAUUUUGAGCUGUUAAGAAGACGCAGCGGGAAUUUAGAGCGGGUAAUCCUACAGGACAGGAGAAUCAGGAAGGUGAUCGAGCUGUGUAGAGUAGCUGCUUGUGAUACUCUGAUUUUAUGUUGUGAGGUUCGUUAUGCUCGUUUAGAGUUUUACAAUUUUACUUUGUAAGAGGGAAUUGUAAUAAUUAACUCGAAGUUUACCGAUUUGGAAAUUUUGUGUAAGUGGUGGAGUUGUUUCUGAGAAAAGAA